AAAAAGGCAAACCCUGGGUUUCCGUGCCAACGUUUAACUGUCCGUCUUAUAUGAAAUUUUUUUAUAAUUAGUAUUUUCAUUGUUGUUAGAUGAUAAAACAUGAUUAAUACUUUAUGCGUGACUUAUCUUUUUAAUUUUUUUUAUAAUUUUUUCAAAUAAGACGGACGGUCAAACGUUGGACACGGAAAUC
Molecule: microRNA precursor, 190 nt
Filed under: Oryza barthii
Lineage: Eukaryota; Viridiplantae; Streptophyta; Magnoliopsida; Poales; Poaceae
Description: MIR812 microRNA precursor family
Rfam family: MIR812 microRNA precursor family
Source: Rfam by way of RNAcentral